This 469-nucleotide ribosomal RNA is filed under the name uncultured bacterium. RNAcentral describes it as "bacterial SSU rRNA". It matches the Rfam family "Bacterial small subunit ribosomal RNA", at positions 329 to 795 of the family's 1533-position model. The record is from RNAcentral.
GUCCAGACUCCUACGGGAGGCAGCAGUGAGGAAUAUUGGUCAAUGGGUGGAAGCCUGAACCAGCCAAGUCGCGUGAGGGAAUAAGGCCCUACGGGUCGUAAACCUCUUUUGCCGGGGAGCAAGGGCGGGGACGUGUCCCGGCCCGGAGAGUACCCGGAGAAAAAGCAUCGGCUAACUCCGUGCCAGCAGCCGCGGUAAUACGGAGGAUGCGAGCGUUAUCCGGAUUUAUUGGGUUUAAAGGGAGCGUAGAUGGGUUGUUAAGUCAGUUGUGAAAGUUUGCGGCUCAACCGUAAAAUUGCAAUUGAUACUGGCAGUCUUGAGUACAGUUGAGGUAAGCGGAAUUCGUGGUGUAGCGGUGAAAUGCUUAGAUAUCACGAAGAACCCCGAUUGCGAAGGCAGCGCACCGGCGCCCUACUGACGCUCAGGCACGAAAGCGUGGGUAUCGAACAGGAUUAGAUACCCGCGUAUC